Molecule: long non-coding RNA, 918 nt
Organism: Gossypium arboreum
Lineage: Eukaryota; Viridiplantae; Streptophyta; Magnoliopsida; Malvales; Malvaceae
Exons: 2
Source: RefSeq, a predicted model, not a curated record
UCCUCCCGCAAAAAUGAGUGAAAGGGAAAGAAGAAAAAAAGCAUGGUUUUCAUAAUUUUCAUGCGUAAAAGAAAGUAGGAAAAACAAGUUGGAAAGGUGAAAGGAGAUGAGGCGUGAAGGAAAAAGCAAGGUGGUUCCUUUUAUCUGUUGAACAAAAAAAUAUUGAAUGAAUGGUUAGAUUAAAAAGGAGGACAAAAACCUGUUGUGUGGUUGACAGCAGCUAAAUGGUUCCCUCCAAAUCCAACCGAUCCAGUGGUACUUAGUGAAAUGAGGGGCUGAAUCUGAAUUCUGAAGUCGAUGUGCUGCUGCAUACCUGCCUGCCUGCCAGCUUAUUGUGUGGCUCAGAAACAACAAGAAUUUCCAAUUGCCCCAUGCACCUGGAAAAGCAUGUGGAGAUCACAAAUCAUAAGCAAACAUAGGUACAUAAUCAGCUGAGCUGGUGGAUUGAACUCGUUGGUGCGUUAGCUUGAGAGCACAGGCAGGGUGGUGAAUAGGGGGAGAAAGGCAUGAAAAUAUCAGACGCACCAAAUCCAAUAUCAACUUUAUCGAUUUCUACCCAACACAGGCACUAGCAGGAAAGGAAGAGAGAGAAAGGGGAGAUAGUCAUUCCCCCCACAAACACAAACAGCAACAAAUAGCUUCUGCAGGCUUUAUACAGGGAGACUUGCUUUUCUAUAUUUGGUACAUGUAGUUAGAUAUUAGGAGGUCCUGUUGCUUUUCAAUCCUUUUCAUCUUCAACUCAACACCCAAUUUUGAAUUUUAAAUUUUUAGCUCUGAUUAUUUUAGGUUUUUUUCUUGUUUUAACUUAUGGAUUUAUGAGUUUGUGGUUUGGGUUUUUAGGUUAAACCAUCUUAGUUCAGUCAUUUUUGGUAAGUGUGAAUUUCUUUUUUAUCAAUUUGGACAAAUCUGGUUUAUUCA